Aethalodelphis obliquidens (Pacific white-sided dolphin) is the source of this 403-nucleotide long non-coding RNA. RefSeq lists it as uncharacterized. The record is from RefSeq and is a predicted model, not a curated record. NCBI's taxonomy places the organism in Eukaryota, Metazoa, Chordata, Mammalia, Artiodactyla, Delphinidae. The transcript has 3 exons.
UAAGGGUUAGGGUUAUGGUUAGGGAACGGGUACAGUUUAGAGUACAGGUUAGGGUACGACAAUGGGUUAGGGUUAGGGUACAUGUUAGGGUACAGAUCAGUGUUAGUGUAUGUGUUAGGUUUAGAGUAUGGGUUAGGGUAAGGGUUAGGGUUAGGGUUAGGGUUGGAGAAUGGGUACGGUUUAGGUUACAGGCUAGGGUACGAAAACAGGUUAGGGUUAGGGUACGUGUUAGGGUAUGGGUUAGUGUUAGUAUACGGGUUAGUAUUAGGGUACGGUUUAGGGUAAGGUUUAGGGUUAGGGUUAGUGAACAGGUACAGUUUAGGGUACGGGUUAGGGUACGACAAUGGAUGAGGGUUAGCAUACAGGUUAGUGUUAGCGUACGGGUUAGGAUUAGGGGACGGGU